RNAcentral lists this transfer RNA (73 nucleotides) under Cordylochernes scorpioides. RNAcentral's name for it is "tRNA-Thr". The record is from RNAcentral. Lineage: Eukaryota; Metazoa; Arthropoda; Arachnida; Pseudoscorpiones; Chernetidae.
GUCCAGGGAUGGGAAUCGAACCCACACUGUUCCACUUACCGGGCAGAUGCCAUGUCCACUAGGCUACCCUGGA